GAUGAACGCUGGCGGCGUGCUUAACACAUGCAAGUCGAACGGGAAUUAUUUUAUUGAAACUUCGGUCGAUUUAAUUUAAUUCUAGUGGCGGACGGGUGAGUAACGCGUGGGUAACCUGCCUUAUACAGGGGGAUAACAGUCAGAAAUGGCUGCUAAUACCGCAUAAGCGCACAGAGCUGCAUGGCUCAGUGUGAAAAACUCCGGUGGUAUAAGAUGGACCCGCGUUGGAUUAGCUGGUUGGUGGGGUAACGGCCCACCAAGGCGACGAUCCAUAGCCGGCCGGGAGGGGGGACCGGCCCAUUUGGGACUGGGCCCCGGCCCAGACCCCCACGGGGGGCAGAAGGGGGGAAAAUUGAAAAAGGGGGGAAACCCUGAGGCAGCGAGGCCGGGUGAAGGAAGAAGUUUCCGGGAAUGAAAAUUUCUACCAGAAGGGAAGAUAGUGAGGGUACCGAACAAAGAACCCGCGGCUAACUAGGU
This 477-nucleotide ribosomal RNA is filed under the name uncultured bacterium. RNAcentral describes it as "partial 16S ribosomal RNA". It matches the Rfam family "Bacterial small subunit ribosomal RNA", at positions 28 to 506 of the family's 1533-position model. The record is from RNAcentral.